UCACAUUUAUAUUAAGCCAUUUCCAUAGGAGUGAAAGUAACACCAUAUAUGAUCAGGCCUUUCUGCAGUUUCCAGUAGGGUUCAGCACUGGUGAGCGAAAAUUUGACAUAUUCAUCGUCACAAGGACCUAGUGCAAUAGGUGUCAUUAUCCCAGGCAAAUGACAAGUGAAGUCCUCUUCGGACUCUUCAUAAGGAGGGCUUUUCUCAGUUUUCACUUUUCCCAUGCUAUGGUGCUUUGCCAGCCCGACCACAAAAUGGCCUACAUAAGGGUCUUCUCCAGCUCUCAGCUGACAUUCUCCGCUAACUUUGAAGUCGGUGCUCUCUAGUAACUCAAUUUCCCUUCCAACUGAAGAGCGCAUGCCCUCACAUAUUCAGUACCAUUCUGCAUUUUAGUUAUGAAAAAAAGAUUAGCAUUAUAUAUUUCAAUAUCUAUCAGUAACUACACUGAUCAUAUAUGUUUUCUGCAAUUUCAGUCUAAAAUUUCAUGAUCACUUGCCUUGAGG
Molecule: long non-coding RNA, 503 nt
Organism: Daucus carota subsp. sativus
Lineage: Eukaryota; Viridiplantae; Streptophyta; Magnoliopsida; Apiales; Apiaceae
Exons: 3
Source: RefSeq, a predicted model, not a curated record